GAUGAACGCUGGCGGUCUGCUUAACACAUGCAAGUCGAACGGGACCUUUCGGGGUCUAGUGGCGGACGGGUGAGUAACGCGUGAGGAUCUGCCCAUAGGUUCGGGACAACAGUUGGAAACGACUGCUAAUACCGGAUGUGCCGGGAGGUGAAAGCUUAAGUGCCUAUGGAUGAGCUCGCGUCUGAUUAGCUAGUUGGAGUGGUAACGGCACCCCAAGGCGACGAUCAGUAGCUGGUCUGAGGGGAUGAUCAGCCCCGCUGGGACUGAGACACGGCCCAGACUCCUACGGGAGGCAGCAGUGGGGAAUUUUCCGCAAUGGGCGCAAGCCUGACGGAGCAAAACCGCGUGAGGGAAGAAGGUCUGUGGAUUGUAAACCCUCUUUUGAUAGGGAAGAAGGAAGUGACGGUACCUAUCGAAUCAGCCUCGGCUAACUCCGUGCCAGCAGCCGCGGUAAU
Molecule: ribosomal RNA, 455 nt
Filed under: uncultured bacterium
Lineage: Bacteria
Description: bacterial SSU rRNA
Rfam family: Bacterial small subunit ribosomal RNA
Source: RNAcentral